Molecule: ribosomal RNA, 610 nt
Filed under: uncultured bacterium
Lineage: Bacteria
Description: bacterial SSU rRNA
Rfam family: Bacterial small subunit ribosomal RNA
Source: RNAcentral
CCUACGGGAGGCAGCAGUAAGGAAUAUUGGUCAAUGGAGGCAACUCUGAACCAGCCAUGCCGCGUGCAGGAAGAAGGCCCUAUGGGUCGUAAACUGCUUUUGUACCAGAGAAAACCCGAGUACGUGUACUCGGUUGAUAGUAUGGUAAGAAUAAGCAUCGGCUAACUUCGUGCCAGCAGCCGCGGUAAGACGAAGGAUGCAAGCGUUAUCCGGAUUCAUUGGGUUUAAAGGGUGCGUAGGCGGACUGAUAAGUCAGUGGUGAAAUCCCUCGGCUUAACCGAGAAACUGCCAUUGAUACUGUUAGUCUAGAGUAUAGAUGACGUUGGCGGAAUAUGACAUGUAGUGGUGAAAUACUUAGAUAUGUCAUAGAACACCGAUUGCGAAGGCAGCUAACGAAACUAUAACUGACGCUGAGGCACGAAAGUGCGGGGAUCAAACAGGAUUAGAUACCCUGGUAGUCCGCACCGUAAACGAUGAUUACUCGUUGUUGGCAAUAUGACCGUCAGCGACCAAGCGAAAGCGAUAAGUAAUCCACCUGGGGAGUACGCCGGCAACGGUGAAACUCAAGGAAUUGACGGCNGAGAGNGCGAGACGACGACGAGGGAGGAGG